UCACCCCUCAAGCCCGGCUUGUUGUUGGACGUCGGCGGCGGCCUUUAGUGGCGUACCGCCCGUCUCAAAGAUAAUGACGGCGUCUGUGAGGACACCUGUACACUGAGCUUUCGGGCACGUACUAGGCUGAUACUUGCAGACCCGGUCUUCGGGUUCGCUUCGGCGUCCCCAACUUUUUUACCAA
This 184-nucleotide unclassified non-coding RNA is filed under the name Cyphellophora aestiva. RNAcentral describes it as "partial internal transcribed spacer 2". RNAcentral also lists the same sequence under 1 other name. The record is from RNAcentral. Lineage: Eukaryota; Fungi; Ascomycota; Eurotiomycetes; Chaetothyriales; Cyphellophoraceae.